AGAGUUUGAUCCUGGCUCAGGACGAACGCUGGCGGCGUGCCUAAUACAUGCAAGUAGAACGCUGAAGAGAGGAGCUUGCUCUUCUUGGAUGAGUUGCGAACGGGUGAGUAACGCGUAGGUAACCUGCCUUGUAGCGGGGGAUAACUAUUGGAAACGAUAGCUAAUACCGCAUAACAAUGGGUGACACAUGUCAUUUAUUUGAAAGGGGCAAUUGCUCCACUACAAGAUGGACCUGCGUUGUAUUAGCUAGUAGGUGAGGUAACGGCUCACCUAGGCGACGAUACAUAGCCGACCUGAGAGGGUGAUCGGCCACACUGGGACUGAGACACGGCCCAGACUCCUACGGGAGGCAGCAGUAGGGAAUCUUCGGCAAUGGGGGCAACCCUGACCGAGCAACGCCGCGUGAGUGAAGAAGGUUUUCGGAUCGUAAAGCUCUGUUGUAAGUCAAGAACGAGUGUGAGAGUGGAAAAUUCACACUGUGACGGUAGCUUACCAGAAAGGGACGGCUAACUACGUGCCAGCAGCCGCGGUAAUACGUAGGUCCCGAGCGUUGUCCGGAUUUAUUGGGCGUAAAGCGAGCGCAGGCGGUUUGAUAAGUCUGAAGUUAAAGGCUGUGGCUCAACCAUAGUUCGCUUUGGAAACUGUCAAACUUGAGUGCAGAAGGGGAGAGUGGAAUUCCAUGUGUAGCGGUGAAAUGCGUAGAUAUAUGGAGGAACACCGGUGGCGAAAGCGGCUCUCUGGUCUGUAACUGACGCUGAGGCUCGAAAGCGUGGGGAGCGAACAGGAUUAGAUACCCUGGUAGUCCACGCCGUAAACGAUGAGUGCUAGGUGUUGGAUCCUUUCCGGGAUUCAGUGCCGCAGCUAACGCAUUAAGCACUCCGCCUGGGGAGUACGACCGCAAGGUUGAAACUCAAAGGAAUUGACGGGGGCCCGCACAAGCGGUGGAGCAUGUGGUUUAAUUCGAAGCAACGCGAAGAACCUUACCAGGUCUUGACAUCCCGAUGCUAUUUCUAGAGAUAGAAAGUUACUUCGGUACAUCGGUGACAGGUGGUGCAUGGUUGUCGUCAGCUCGUGUCGUGAGAUGUUGGGUUAAGUCCCGCAACGAGCGCAACCCCUAUUGUUAGUUGCCAUCAUUCAGUUGGGCACUCUAGCGAGACUGCCGGUAAUAAACCGGAGGAAGGUGGGGAUGACGUCAAAUCAUCAUGCCCCUUAUGACCU
This 1218-nucleotide ribosomal RNA is filed under the name metagenome. Its description in RNAcentral is "bacterial SSU rRNA". It matches the Rfam family "Bacterial small subunit ribosomal RNA", at positions 8 to 1210 of the family's 1533-position model. The record is from RNAcentral.